GCUAUAGGUGGUGGCCUGUGGUCCCAGCUGCACAGGAGGCUGAGGUGGGAGGAUCUCUUGAGCCCAAGAGAUGAGACCAGCCUGGGCACCACAGGGAGACCCCACCUCAA
This 110-nucleotide small RNA is filed under the name Marmota monax (woodchuck). The record is from RNAcentral. Lineage: Eukaryota; Metazoa; Chordata; Mammalia; Rodentia; Sciuridae.